Molecule: long non-coding RNA, 252 nt
Filed under: Capsicum annuum
Lineage: Eukaryota; Viridiplantae; Streptophyta; Magnoliopsida; Solanales; Solanaceae
Description: long non-coding RNA (CANN_LNC007025)
Source: RNAcentral
ACCAAAUCACAGAUUUAGACUCCUUAUUAGUUUUCAUUUUAUAGCAAUGUCUGUGGUACUCUCAAUUCCCCAAAUAACAAUUCAUUCAAUCACCAAAUCACUCAACUAUGACAUGCUAUAUCAAUCCUCUAAAUUCAUUCCACUCCUGUCAGUUCAUCAAAUACAAUCCUAUUCAUUUCAGUUUCUAGCGAAGUAUCUACCAAGUUCAUUACAGUUGAACAUCACCACUUAGAUAUUGUCCUUAAAUCCUAG